RNAcentral lists this long non-coding RNA (524 nucleotides) under Macaca mulatta (Rhesus monkey). Its description in RNAcentral is "lncRNA (ENSMMUG00000049766.1)". Lineage: Eukaryota; Metazoa; Chordata; Mammalia; Primates; Cercopithecidae. The record is from RNAcentral.
CUUAGGGACUAAGGAAGUUGUCUUUCCUCUUCUGACAUUUGCUGACUGGAUGAUGCUAGAUGAUCUUGAGACCCUGUACUGAAGACUGGAGAACUGCAGGAAAGGAGCCGUGCCUCUGAAUUAUCGUGUGGAAGACUGCUUGUUUAACCGCUGACGACUGUGAGGAAGGUGAAGGUGGUUAAGGAGGUGCCGCUCUGGGAGCAGAAGGCAGUCACUGGGGCAGAUCGGUGGAGCUAUGUUACGGAGAUCCAGGAUGGUCAGUGAGGAUGCUGGGCCUCACCUGGUCUCACUGUUGCUACCCCACUCAUCAACUUGAUCUGUUUGCCCCAAUCCCACCAUUUUGGAUGACAUUAUGGAUCCUCUGAUCUUUAACAAAUCCAUCCAAGAUUGUCUGUUUCUUCUUCUAAGGUGUCGCCAGGAAUGAAGAUUCUUUCACCUGAUUUAUUUUUUCUGGUUUAACACGUGUCUGAAAAAAUAAUAGCAAUUAUUAUUAUCAUUGUAGAAUUCAUUUCAUUCCUCUCAAA